RNAcentral lists this long non-coding RNA (461 nucleotides) under Homo sapiens (human). RNAcentral describes it as "non-protein coding lnc-ZSCAN10-3:9". Lineage: Eukaryota; Metazoa; Chordata; Mammalia; Primates; Hominidae. The record is from RNAcentral.
CAGGCGCCCGCAGCCUGCAAAGCGUCUCCAGUGCCGCCGCCUCAGUGAACCUCAACCAGCGGCACCUAGCAGCUUUCUCUGCCACCCUCUUCAGGCAGGAAGCCCGCCUGACCCCAUGUCUCAGGCUGCCAGAGGAGCGUGCGAUGAGGAAGGCUGGACUGUCUUCACAGGACACCAGGGAGAAGCCUCAAGCCACUGCCCCCUGACAAGUCGCAGCUCUCCAGCCUGUCUCCUCACUCCCCUCCCCUCCACAUGGGGGGGUUGGGGUGGGGGCGGGGAAGGUUCGGGGCAGGGGUCAUUUCAGCUACUGGGCACCAGUCUCCUCCUCAUGUUUAUCCUGUUCCCUUUGCUUGAAAGGUUCGUACUCCAGAUCCUUGUAAAACCGCUUCUCACCCUUUGAGUCUCAGCUUAAAUGUCCCCUCCUUGGAGGGGUCUUCCCUGACAAUGAAGCUCCGACCGUC